Molecule: ribosomal RNA, 459 nt
Filed under: uncultured bacterium
Lineage: Bacteria
Description: partial 16S ribosomal RNA
Rfam family: Bacterial small subunit ribosomal RNA
Source: RNAcentral
CCUACGGGAGACAGCAGUGAGGAAUAUUGGUCAAUGGCCGAGAGGCUGAACCAGCCAAGUCGCGUGAGGGAAGACGGCCCUACGGGUUGUAAACCUCUUUUGUCGGGGAGCAAAGCGAGUCACGUGUGACUCAUUGAGAGUACCCGAAGAAAAAGCAUCGGCUAACUCCGUGCCAGCAGCCGCGGUACUUCGGAGGAUGCGAGCGUUAUCCGGAUUUAUUGGGUUAAAGGGGUGCGCAGGCGGAGGUGCAAGUCAGCGGUCAAAUUGCGGGGCUCAACCCCGUACUGCCGUUGAAACUGCAUGCCUUGAGUGCGCGAGAAGUAUGCGGAAUGCGUGGUGUAGCGGUGAAAUGCAUAGAUAUCACGCAGAACUCCGAUUGCGAAGGCAGCAUACCGGAGCGCAACUGACGCUCAUGCACGAAAGCGUGGGUAUCGAACAGGAUUAGAUACCCGGGUAGUC